This 411-nucleotide ribosomal RNA is filed under the name Triticum aestivum (bread wheat). RNAcentral's name for it is "partial small subunit ribosomal RNA". The record is from RNAcentral. Lineage: Eukaryota; Viridiplantae; Streptophyta; Magnoliopsida; Poales; Poaceae.
AUGAUUAUUCAUUCGCCGGAACCAGAAGUAAAAAUUGUUGUGGAUAGGGAUCCUGUAAAAACAUCUUUUGAGGAAUGGGCCAGACCCGACCAUUUCUCAAGAACACUAGCUAAGGGCCCUGAUACUACCACUUGGAUCUGGAACCUACAUGUUGAUGCUCACGAUUUCGAUAGUCAUACUGGUGAUUUGGAGGAGAUUUCUCAAAAAGUCUUUAGUGCUCAUUUUGGGCAACUUUCCAUUAUCUUUCUUUGGUUGAGUGGCAUGUAUUUUCAUGGCGCUCGUUUUUCCAAUUAUGAAGCAUGGCUAAGUGAUCCUACUCACAUUGGACCCAGUGCUCGGGUAGUUUGGCCUAUAGUAGGGAAAGAAAUAUUUAAUGGUGAUGUAGGCGGGGGUUUUGAGGAAUCCAAAUAA